This 468-nucleotide ribosomal RNA is filed under the name uncultured bacterium. RNAcentral's name for it is "partial 16S ribosomal RNA". It matches the Rfam family "Bacterial small subunit ribosomal RNA", at positions 28 to 507 of the family's 1533-position model. The record is from RNAcentral.
GACGAACGCUGGCGGCGUGCUUAACACAUGCAAGUCGAACGGAAAGGCCCUGCUUUUGUGGGGUGCUCGAGUGGCGAACGGGUGAGUAACACGUGAGUAACCUGCCCUUGACUUUGGGAUAACUUCAGGAAACUGGGGCUAAUACCGGAUAGGAGCUCCUGCUGCAUGGUGGGGGUUGGAAAGUUUCGGCGGUUGGGGAUGGACUCGCGGCUUAUCAGCUUGUUGGUGGGGUAGUGGCUUACCAAGGCUUUGACGGGUAGCCGGCCUGAGAGGGUGACCGGCCACAUUGGGACUGAGAUACGGCCCAGACUCCUACGGGAGGCAGAAGUGGGGAAUAUUGCACAAUGGGCGGAAGCCUGAUGCAGCAACGCCGCGUGCGGGAUGACGGCCUUCGGGUUGUAAACCGCUGUCGCCUGUGACGAAGCGUGAGUGACGGUAAUGGGUAAAAAAGCACCGGCUAACUACGUG